GGGGGCAUUCACCUAAUUGCCUCAUUUUCCAUAGAGCAUCUGAAACUUUCUCUAUAGUAAGAAAAGGGGAAAGUUUCUGCCAGUCCCAACUCAACCUUCCUUCCAUGCAGAUCUGGAAGUCCUCCCGCAGAAGCUGUUUCCAGCUGGCUUUGCUUUGGUUUCAAUCUCUGCAGAGGCAUGCCGGCUCCGUACCAUUCACACCUGGGACAUUCAGCCCUUCUAUCAGCAGACAGGUUGGCAGGAAAGAACAUGUGGAGUGGAGAGAAAGUUCCAGGUGUUACUGUUCCUUCGAAUGACAUCUUUGAUCUACAGCCAACAGGAUUCUUGAAUUUUAAAUCGAAGCUACUAGUGACUCAGACUUUAAUUGGACACACCUCUUGGCCGAGAAGAUUAAUAAUUAGUCCAUUUAACAUGAGGAAACUCUGUACCCUCAAGCCUUCAAAAUAAAUGUUACAGCAGAGAUGGAGAGGAAGUAAUUUAUUAUAAUAACUCUCCUAAAGUUGCCCAAAUGCAAGGAUAGCAAUUUACCAUGCUGUUCUCACUGUCAUCUCCUGCUGGCUCUCUAUCCUGAACCUCCCUGUGAUUCAAACUAUAAACGUUCCAGGGAAGUGAGGGUGUCAUAAGGGGAGGACUGCUCUGUGCAAGAUGGGACAGUGACUCAACUAGAGGCAAAAUCAGGCUUGGGUUUCUGACAAACGAGCAUUGGAAUUUGGAGCGCUAGGUGCCUGUGCUGAAUUUAGCACUAAUUAACAAGAGGAUAUUACUUGCCUAUGCUUCAGCUUUCUGGUGUAAAAUGAAGGAGUUAGAAGAGAAAAUCUGGGACAUCCCUUCCUGUUAGGAGAAAAAAAGAAGCACAUUUAUUUUAGGUCCAGGGGGUGGGAUUAGGAUGGGAAGGAAAGAGUCAAUUAAAUAUCCACAGGGGGAGGCAGGAAAUGGAAGGAACACAACCUAGCCUGGGCUCAGCUCUUUAAUGGUUGUUUCUGAGCAGGAAAACAGGGCAUGACCCUGCGAGGGGCUUUAGAGAUGAGAGUAACAUCCCUUUCCCUAAAGCAAGUAAAUGGGCUUUAUUUGUAUUGUUAUCAUUCAUAGCUUACCCACAUUUUACGCACAUGUUUUAUAUAGUCACUACUUAGUACUCAUUAAAGCCAAAUUAAAA
RNAcentral lists this long non-coding RNA (1156 nucleotides) under Bos indicus x Bos taurus (hybrid cattle). RNAcentral describes it as "lncRNA (ENSBIXG00000001835.1)". Lineage: Eukaryota; Metazoa; Chordata; Mammalia; Artiodactyla; Bovidae. The record is from RNAcentral.